AUGAGCCCAGCUCCUCUCCCCACGAUCUCCUCGCCACCGCCCCCACCCACGCCGGCCGGUUCUGGCGAGCACCGGUCGCGCACAACACUCCCCCAAGCGCGCCCCUCCCUCCGCCCACACCCUGAUCCAGUAAUAUCCCUUCCUCCCCUCGUCGACCGCUUCGGCUUCGACGACGAUGGCGCCGCCAUCCGCAUCCUCUCCGACGCCGACCCGGCCGCGCCGUGGCAGCAGCAGCCCACAGGCGCCAACAUCCGCCGCGAGCUCGCGCGCCUCGUCGCCGAUGCGCGGCCCGGGGACUCCCUCUUCUUCCACUACAGCGGCCACGGCACGCGCCUGCCCGCCGAGACCGGCCAGGACGAUGACACCGGCUACGACGAGUGCAUCGUCCCCUCCGACAUGAACCUCAUCACAGGUGUGCAGAUCCGGAGACGCCCUUCCGGUGACUAUGAUUUUGGGUUUGCUGACCCUUUUGACCUCAAGUACUACUACAAAGCAGAAAGGAUCCCUGUGAUCAAUUUGCUCCUCUUCACUACACCCACCAGCGUGUCAGCGAUCUGCACUGAAGCAAGGGAUGGAACUCAGGCUGGUACUGACCAAACUGAAGAUGUAAGGCAGAACAGAAGAAGGGCGCCAAGAAAUCUUGGAUUCAUAUGGGAGAAGCACAUAAGGGAGAAGAAGACGAUUGAAAGGAUGGAGAGGGAGCAAAUCAUUUGGAGGGAUAGAAUGCCACUGUUUGGUGUUUUUAUGCAUUUUUGUUUGCUUUCAACUAUGUUUGCACUAGCUGGGAAUAAGUGA
This 795-nucleotide ribosomal RNA is filed under the name Triticum aestivum (bread wheat). Its description in RNAcentral is "partial small subunit ribosomal RNA". Lineage: Eukaryota; Viridiplantae; Streptophyta; Magnoliopsida; Poales; Poaceae. The record is from RNAcentral.